UGAGUAAUGCCUAGGAAUCUGCCUGGUAGUGGGGGACAACGUCUCGAAAGGGACGCUCAUACCGCAUACGUCCUACCGGAGAAAGCAGGGGACCUUCGGGCCUUGCGCUAUCAGAUGAGCCUAUGUCGGAUUAGCUAGAUUGGUGAGGUAAUGGCUCACCAAGGCGACAAUCCGUAACUGGUCUGAGAGGAUGAUCAGUCACACUGGAACUGAGACACGGUCCAGACUCCUACAGGACGCAGCAGUGGGGAAUAUUGGACAAUGGGCGAAAGCCUGAUCCAGCCAUGCCGCGUGUGUGAAGAAGGUCUUCGGAUUGUAAAGCACUUUAAGUUGGGAGGAAGGGCAGUAACUUAAUACGUUGCUGUUUGGACGUUACCGACAGAAUAAGCACCGGCUAACUCUGUGCCAUCAUCCGC
This 416-nucleotide ribosomal RNA is filed under the name uncultured Pseudomonas sp. Its description in RNAcentral is "bacterial SSU rRNA". It matches the Rfam family "Bacterial small subunit ribosomal RNA", at positions 107 to 518 of the family's 1533-position model. Lineage: Bacteria; Pseudomonadati; Pseudomonadota; Gammaproteobacteria; Pseudomonadales; Pseudomonadaceae. The record is from RNAcentral.